RNAcentral lists this ribosomal RNA (933 nucleotides) under Serratia sp. (in: enterobacteria). RNAcentral's name for it is "bacterial SSU rRNA". It matches the Rfam family "Bacterial small subunit ribosomal RNA", at positions 519 to 1451 of the family's 1533-position model. The record is from RNAcentral. Lineage: Bacteria; Pseudomonadati; Pseudomonadota; Gammaproteobacteria; Enterobacterales; Yersiniaceae.
GGUAAUACGGAGGGUGCAAGCGUUAAUCGGAAUUACUGGGCGUAAAGCGCACGCAGGCGGUUUGUUAAGUCAGAUGUGAAAUCCCCGGGCUCAACUUGGGAACUGCAUUUAAAACUGGUAAGCUAGAGUCUCGUAGAGGGGGGGUAGAAUUCCAGGUGUAGCGGUGAAAUGCGUAGAGAUGUGGAGGAAUACCGGUGGCGAAGGCGGCCCCCUGGACGAAGACUGACGCUCAGGUGCGAAAGCGUGGGGAGCAAACAGGAUUAGAUACCCUGGUAGUCCACGCUGUAAACGAUGUCGAUUUGGAGGUUGUGCCCUUGAGGCGUGGCUUCCGGAGCUAACGCGUUAAAUCGACCGCCUGGGGAGUACGGCCGCAAGGUUAAAACUCAAAUGAAUUGACGGGGGCCCGCACAAGCGGUGGAGCAUGUGGUUUAAUUCGAUGCAACGCGAAGAACCUUACCUACUCUUGACAUCCAGAGAACUUUCCAGAGAUGGAUUGGUGCCUUCGGGAACUCUGAGACAGGUGCUGCAUGGCUGUCGUCAGCUCGUGUUGUGAAAUGUUGGGUUAAGUCCCGCAACGAGCGCAACCCUUAUCCUUUGUUGCCAGCGGUUCGGCCGGGAACUCAAAGGAGACUGCCAGUGAUAAACCGGAGGAAGGUGGGGAUGACGUCAAGUCAUCAUGGCCCUUACGAGUAGGGCUACACACGUGCUACAAUGGCAUAUACAAAGAGAAGCGACCUCGCGAGAGCAAGCGGACCUCAUAAAGUAUGUCGUAGUCCGGAUUGGAGUCUGCAACUCGACUCCAUGAAGUCGGAAUCGCUAGUAAUCGUAGAUCAGAAUGCUACGGUGAAUACGUUCCCGGGCCUUGUACACACCGCCCGUCACACCAUGGGAGUGGGUUGCAAAAGAAGUAGGUAGCUUAACCUUCGGGAGGGC